RNAcentral lists this ribosomal RNA (765 nucleotides) under uncultured Streptococcus sp. RNAcentral describes it as "bacterial SSU rRNA". It matches the Rfam family "Bacterial small subunit ribosomal RNA", at positions 28 to 776 of the family's 1533-position model. The record is from RNAcentral. Lineage: Bacteria; Bacillati; Bacillota; Bacilli; Lactobacillales; Streptococcaceae.
GACGAACGCUGGCGGCGUGCCUAAUACAUGCAAGUAGAACGCUGAAGAGAGGAGCUUGCUCUUCUUGGAAGAGUUGCGAACGGGUGAGUAACGCGUAGGUAACCUGCCUUGUAGCGGGGGAUAACUAUUGGAAACGAUAGCUAAUACCGCAUAACAAUGGGUGACCCAUGUCAUUCAUUUGAAAGGGGCAACUGCUCCACUACAAGAUGGACCUGCGUUGUAUUAGCUAGUAGGUGAGGUAACGGCUCACCUAGGCGACGAUACAUAGCCGACCUGAGAGGGUGAUCGGCCACACUGGGACUGAGACACGGCCCAGACUCCUACGGGAGGCAGCAGUAGGGAAUCUUCGGCAAUGGGGGCAACCCUGACCGAGCAACGCCGCGUGAGUGAAGAAGGUUUUCGGAUCGUAAAGCUCUGUUGUAAGUCAAGAACGAGUGUGAGAGUGGAAAGUUCACACUGUGACGGUAGCUUACCAGAAAGGGACGGCUAACUACGUGCCAGCAGCCGCGGUAAUACGUAGGUCCCGAGCGUUGUCCGGAUUUAUUGGGCGUAAAGCGAGCGCAGGCGGUUUGAUAAGUCUGAAGUUAAAGGCUGCGGCUCAACCAUAGUUCGCUUUGGAAACUGUCAAACUUGAGUGCAGAAGGGGAGAGUGGAAUUCCAUGUGUAGCGGUGAAAUGCGUAGAUAUAUGGAGGAACACCGGUGGCGAAAGCGGCUCUCUGGUCUGUAACUGACGCUGAGGCUCGAAAGCGUGGGGAGCGAACAGG